This 465-nucleotide ribosomal RNA is filed under the name Vreelandella stevensii. RNAcentral's name for it is "partial 16S ribosomal RNA". It matches the Rfam family "Bacterial small subunit ribosomal RNA", at positions 338 to 795 of the family's 1533-position model. The record is from RNAcentral. Lineage: Bacteria; Pseudomonadati; Pseudomonadota; Gammaproteobacteria; Oceanospirillales; Halomonadaceae.
CCUACGGGAGGCCGCAGUGGGGAAUAUUGGACAAUGGGCGAAAGCCUGAUCCAGCCAUGCCGCGUGUGUGAAGAAGGCCUUCGGGUUGUAAAGCACUUUCAGUGGGGAAGAAAGCCUUGGGGCUAAUACCCUCGAGGAAGGACAUCACCCACAGAAGAAGCACCGGCUAACUCCGUGCCAGCAGCCGCGGUAAUACGGAGGGUGCGAGCGUUAAUCGGAUUUACUGGGCGUAAAGCGCGCGUAGGCGGUCUGAUAAGCCGGUUGUGAAAGCCCCGGGCUCAACCUGGGAACGGCAUCCGGAACUGUCAGGCUAGAGUGCAGGAGAGGAAGGUAGAAUUCCCGGUGUAGCGGUGAAAUGCGUAGAGAUCGGGAGGAAUACCAGUGGCGAAGGCGGCCUUCUGGACUGACACUGACGCUGAGGUGCGAAAGCGUGGGUAGCAAACAGGAUUAGAUACCCCAGUAGUC